Molecule: ribosomal RNA, 332 nt
Filed under: uncultured bacterium
Lineage: Bacteria
Description: bacterial SSU rRNA
Rfam family: Bacterial small subunit ribosomal RNA
Source: RNAcentral
AGUGUAGGCGGGAUCGUAAGUUAGGGGUUUAAUACAUGGGCUUAACCCAUGAGCUGCUUUUAAUACUGCGGUUCUUGAGUAUGGGAGAGGGCGAUGGAAUUCCAGGUGUAGCGGUGGAAUGCGUAGAUAUCUGGAAGAACACCAGUAGCGAAGGCGGUCGCCUGGCCCAAUACUGACGCUGAUGCUCGAAAGCUAGGGGAGCAAACAGGAUUAAAUACCCUGGUAGUCCUAGCCGUAAACGAUGGACACUAGUUGCUGGAGGAGUCAAUCCUUUCGGUGACGAAGCUAACGCAUUAAGUGUCCCGCCUGGGGAGUACGUUCGCAAGGAUGAA